CCCGGCGCGGCGCCGCCUGUGCCUGCCCGAGGAGCCGCUUUCCUGCCGGGAGCCGCGCUCCGCUGGGAGCGCGGGUUUUCAUUUUCCAGAGUUCCUUGCUGUGGUGGUUUUGAGGAACUUAGGGGAUCGUUUUCUUUUGUUCGUAGUUGGUGUAUGAGAAAGGUCCUGGUGUACCUGUUGUUGUUAUGGUUCUUGGUUCAUGUGCUGAUGACAAGGGGUUUUUUGGAUUGAGUUUGUUGUUGGAUUUUUUUUUUUUGUGGGAUAUGUUGGGUUUUUUAUUUGUUUUUAUAUUAUUAAAAUACAGUAGUAGUUACCUUCUUAAAGGAUAUUUUUUUUUAAGGUUUACUGUGGUUUUUAUGGGUCGUAGCAUGAAGUACAGGGUUGGUUUUUAAUUAGGCUGUGGUGGUUUUUAUUAGCGUGAGUAUGUAGUGGUUGUUUUGGUGGGUUUGGGGUAGUGUCCUGUAGUCAAUUAGUAAGUUGGUUUUUUUUUGUUUUUUUUUUAAUAUUGAUAAUUGUGUUCUUUUUAAUUCUCUUAUAGAGGUUUUAUUCAUUUGGUUUGUUUAAUUGUCGUGAAUGUUUUAUUGUUACCGGUAAUUUGGGAGUUAUUGUUUAUGGUUGCAUUUAUCUUUUGGUGACGUGUUUAUUUCUAGGUGGUAUUUGUAUUUUGAUGGUUUGAGGCAUUAUGGCUUUAUUGAAUUAGGAAUAAUUUUUGUUGUUGUUAAUUUAAGUUUAUUUAUUUGGGUUUUGUUUUAGUUUGAUGUAUUUGUUGGUUGCUUUUUAUUAGUGGGGUUUUUUUUAGGAACAUGUGUAUUUAUACGGUGGGUUUUUUUAGGUAGUUUUUUAUUUGGGUACUUAUCUUUUUCUUGUCUAGUGAUUUAGAAUAUUUUAAUAUCGUUUAUUACUUUAGUUUUUAACAUUAAAUUAGACUACUGGUUACUCUUCGAGUUAGUGUAGGGGUGUGGUUUUCAUUUUUAGUAGCUUUCAGGGUCUGUUGUACAGUUUGAAGUUAGUAAGCUGGUUGGACUUCUUUUUCUAGUGGGUUUUGUAAUUCGUUUUCUAUGUAUGUUUUGGUUUCUAUGGGUUGUUUUUUAUUUUUGUUUAAUUUUUGUGAUGUGUCUCACGAAGAACUGUUAGUGAAGAGUGUAGCGUGGGUUUAUUUUUUGCUGGUAGUUGGUUCUAUGGUGGUGUAUUUUUAGUUUGUGUUGUUUGGUUUUGGGUUUCUUUUGUUAGAGAUUAAAGUUUUUAUUCUGGGGUUAAUUUGUUAUUAUUUUUAAGGAUUUAGGGCGAUUGAGAUUUUUGAUAUGGAUGUCCUGUAUGAUAAGAGUUAAAUUAUUUGCUUUAUGUGGAAUUGAUGGCGGGGUAGGAGACAUUUUUGUAUAGAACGUGUAUUUUAAUCAUAGUAUUAAAAUAAUACCGUGGUAAGAGGGGCUGUGUUUUAUUGUUUGUUUUCGAGGUGGUUUGGCAUUUUCUUAUAGGUUGGCGGUUUUUUUUGUUGGCUCGUGGAGCCAUUCUGACUUUUUUUGAUGAAAUUGGUGGGAAUUUGAUGUUUCUUUUGUUAUUUUAUUUUUAGGAAUUGGAUCUUUUCAGUAGGCUUUUUCAUUUUGCUUUUUUUUUUGUUUUGUGGUGUAAUAGUAUUUUAGAAGAAUUUGGAUGAUUUUUAAAAAUAUUUUUGUUAUACUUUUCAUCUAAUAUUGUUAGAUUAUUACAGAUGUUUUGGAGUUUUCUUUUUAAGUUUCAUUUGGAUGAAUUUAUGCUAGAUGGUAGGACUGUGUUUUUAUUUUUGGGGUAGUUGGUUGUAGGUAUAUGUUUUUCAAGUGAAGGUAAAUCGAGGUUUGUAUUCGGUUGUUAGAGGAAUGGAGAAAAAUGUAUUGGUAAUGUUAACAGUGGUGUGUUAUUUUGUGGUUUUUGAUUUUAGUUUGUAUUGGAGUUUUAAUAAGUUUGGUACAGUAGUGUUUAAUGGUGGAGUUAUUUAAGGUAUGAUAGUUUAUAGUUAAUUCUUAUUUGUUUUAGAUUUGUGUGUAGGUUAGAGGAGGUUGUUGAAGGGUGAGUGGGUUUUGUAGAUGAAUUUUAAUGUUUCAGUUUAUAGAGCAUUUUUUGGAUGGGAGUUACAGUAUUUUGAGUUAUUUGGUGUCGCUGCUGAUGUAUUGUUGAGGUGGUAAGGAGUAUUUGUUGGGUUUUUUUAAAGAAGGUUUAUUGUUGAUAGUUUCAGAUAGUUGUGGUGGGUUGCUUAAUUGUUUUAUGUUUUUUGGCUUUUUAGUAGUUAUUUUAAAUAUGUUUGAGUUUUUGGGGUUUAUUGAAAUACUUGAUUUUGAGGAAGAUCCUGUUUAGAAUGUAUGAUUUUUUUUUGGCUUAAAAUAAAAAUUUUAUUUUUUUUUUUCGUGAGGUUUAUUUUUUUUUCUUACUGCUAUAUUUUGUGAUAUUUGUGUUAGGUUAGUAAUAGGAAUAGCUUUACUUUUAUAUGUUGAAAUGAGGGUAGUGUGUACUGCGUUCUGGUGUUCAUAAAGGUUUAAUAUUUUUGUGAUUCUGAUGUGUUAGGUUAAUGAAUUUAUAAAGUUUACAAGACUUUUUUUUUGUUUUUAUUUCGAUACAGGCAGGGUUUUCUUAGUUUUAAGGAUUUGUUUGGCAUAAUUAAGAGGCCUUAUUGAGGGGAUAGAACAGGGUGUCUCUGUUAAUCUAUUUGGCAAUUUGGAUAUUGGGUAAAUAAAGUUAAUAUUUUGGUAUUAUUUUUGGGUUUUGUUUAUUUAUUUAUGAAUUUGUGUGCCUACAGCUGUAGUGUCUCUGCUGCAACUCCAAGUAUCCAUUCAUGUUUGUGUGCAUUAGGCAGUGCAGUCGUGUAACAACGAGCCCCCUCUGUAACCAGCCCACAGACCCUCUCCUUCGACCUCGUGGGAAUUCGGGAAGCGGCACACGGCUCUGCAAGGAAGCCUUGAUCUUUGUCACUGGAAGGUGUCACACAGGGAGCCUUCAGGAGCGGCUGAGGAGUUGCUCCAGGCAGACCCUGCCAGGAGGGCGAGGGCGAAGCGUGCGGCCCGAGGAGCCCGGCGUUCUUAGGAGAAUGGCGAGUAGCAGAAUUGCUGGUUUGUGGCUGCUGAGCAGCUAAGAUCAUGCAGUGAUGUUUGCUGUUCUUGAUUGUAGCUGAGCAAGGGACCACAGCCUGCUGACCAUAAGACAUUCCCAGCUGUCGAGGCAGCCUCCAUUUGCACAGGAUGUGGAUUCUCAUCCCCGGAUGCCUGAGAGAUAAGUCGAGGGCUAAGGCCCACAGAGGGGACGAAGGCAAUGUGCUGGGAGGUCCUAUUGAAUCAGCUCUGGGGGCGGGCAUGUGCAAGAAGGGUCCCCUUAGGCCACCUAAAGGGAAAAUGUCUAUUUUGAUCGCGGUGCUGAAGCAUGCAGGGCAGACCAGUUCCAGUGUGUGUCCUGUAACUUGUCUCUGGUGCACUCUGUGUUGUUUGGGUCUCUCAGUCCUUGCACACAUUCUUCUCAUUGAAAGCUCUCUCUCCCUGUCCUGUCCCCUCGUUUGUCACGUCCUGUCCUGUGUCACCGGUAUCUGCACUCAUUUGUCCAGGAGCUGCUCUGCCCUGCUGCAUAGCCUGUAAUAGCACAAAUCCCCGGGACUUGAAAUUUGUAAUGCAGGGUGUAGUUGGGAUCUAGAUUCUAUUGGGAGAUUGACAUAAUAUUUUUGGUGCUGUUAAGUUGUCCUGCAGCCGUUUGACACUAGUUCUAACUUCCUUUCAGAUGCAGACAGUUCAAAUCUGUGGUAGAGGGCACCAGUGCUGGGUAAAGGUGUUAGCAUAAGCAGGUCAGUCAUUGUUUGCAUUUGCAGGAGAAGCCUAAAUGGUGACUGUGUUACAGCAGUGUUCUUUGCCUUUAUUUUUAGGAAGUCCAGGCAGAUAGCAGCAGUCAAGGCCCAUUGUGCUAGGUGAGCAGUGGAGAGAAGCUGUUGUUCUUGCUCAGGUUUCAGUUUUUGGAGCAACUGUAAGCAUCCAUUCUUGUUUGUGUGCUUUAGGAAAUCCCUUCGGAGUAUGACAAGCCCCUGUCACCAGCUGGCUGAUGGACUGAUUUUCCUGUGCUUUAUGAGACCUCUGGAAGUAUUGCAGGGCUCUGUGAUGAAGCCUAAAAUUUUUGUUUUUCAGGGUCCCAUUCUGGUAGCCCGGAGGAAUGGACAAGGAGUUGCGGUGAAUCAGGGAGGUAGGGAGGAAGUGCAAGGGUACACUCAAGUUUGUGCAAUGCCACGUCACCCCCUCUCCACUUAACCGUGCUGUACCCAUAGGUGAUGCUGUCGGCCUCCAAGCACGCCUGAAGUGUGUGGCCUGGGCACUCUGAGGAGAAUGACCAAGAGCGAACGGCCUGGGGACAACUGGAACUUCCCAGACAGGCUGGAGGCCUCACCCGAUGGGGAUUUUCAUCCAAGGAUAUGUGCAAGAUAAGUCAAGGGCUACAACCCAGAGAGGGGAUGGAAGAGAGGUGCCAGGGACUCCCCAGGAAGGGUUUUUGAGUCAGAUUUGGAGAUGGGGAUGUGCAAGAAGCGUCUCCUUAGGCCACCUGAAGGGAAAAUGUCUGUUUUGAUCUCGGUGCUGAGGUGUGCUGGGCAGAGCAGUUCCGGUGUGUGUCCUGGCACUUGUCUCUGGUGCACUCUGUGUUGUUUGGGUCUCUCGGUCCUUUCUUCUCAUCAAAAGCUCUCUCUCCCUCUCCUGUCCCCUCGUUUGUCACGUCCUGUCCCGUGUCACGGGUGUCCUGUCCUGUCUCCCGGCGGUGCUCUGCCCUGCUGCCUAGCCCGUAAUAGCACAAGUCCUGGGGACUUGAAAUGGGUAAUGCAGGGUGUAUUUGAGCUCUAGAUUGUAUUAGGAGAUUGACGUAAGAUGUUUGGUGCUGUUAAGUUGUCUUGCAGCCUUUUAACACUAGUCCUAACUUCCUUUCAGAUGCUGACAGUUCAAAUCUGUGGCAGCGGAGUCCCAAUCCUGGGUGAGGAACUUCCGUCAGCUGGUCAGUCAUUGUUUGCGUUUGCAGGGGAAGCCUAAAUGGUGACUGUGUUACAGCAGUGUUCUUUGCCUUUAUUUUUAGGAGGUCCGGGCAGAUAGCAGAAGUCAAGGUCCAGUGUACCAGGUGAGCAGAGGUCAGAAGCAGUUGUUCUUGCUCAGGUUUCAGUUUUUAUUGCAGCUGUAAGCAUCCUUUCUCCUUUUUGUGCUUUAGGGAAUCGACCUGGAGUACACAUACCUCUGUCACCAACUGGCUGAAGGACCCGGUUUCAUGCGCUUGUGAUCUCGGUGGAAGUAUUCCAGGACCCUGUGAUGAAACCUUCCAAUUUUGCAUGUCAAGGUCCCAUCCUGGUAGCCCAGAGGAAUGGCCGAGGAGUUGCAGUGAGUCGGGGGGGUAGGGAGGAGGAGGAGUGGGAGUCCACUCAUGUUUGAGCAAUGCUAUGUCGCCUUGUCUCCACUGAACUUAGGUGUACCCUGCAAUGACGGCGUCAGAAUCCAAGCACGCCCGAAGUGUGCUGGCCGGAGAACCUGGGCAUUCUGAGGAGAAUGACCAAGAGAGAACGGCCUGGGGACAACUGGAACUCCCCAGACAGGCUGGAGGCCUCACCCGAUGGGGAUUUGCAUCCCAGGAUAUGUGCAAGAUAAGUCCAGGGCUACAACCCAGAGAGGGGAUGGAAGAGAGGUGCCAGGGACUCCCCAGGAAGGGUUUUUGAGUCAGAUUUGGAGAUGGGGAUGUGCAAGAAGCGUCUCCUUAGGCCACCUGAAGGGAAAAUGUCUGUUUUGAUCUCGGUGCUGAGGUGUGCUGGGCAGAGCAGUUCCGGUGUGUGUCCUGGCACUUGUCUCUGGUGCACUCUGUGUUGUUUGGGUCUCUCGGUCCUUUCUUCUCAU
This is a non-coding RNA of Taeniopygia guttata (zebra finch), 5861 nucleotides long. The record is from RefSeq and is a predicted model, not a curated record. NCBI's taxonomy places the organism in Eukaryota, Metazoa, Chordata, Aves, Passeriformes, Estrildidae.